GGCGAUGUUUGAUCAUGGCUCAGAACGAACGCUGGCGGCAUGCCUAACACAUGCAAGUCGAACGCCUGUAGCAAUAUAGGAGUGGCGCACGGGUGAGUAACGCGUGGGAACCUGCCCUGGAGUGGGGGAUAACCGAGAGAAAUUUCGGCUAAUACCGCAUACGACCUGAGGGUGAAAGAUUUAUCGCUCUUGGAGGGGCCCGCGUCGGAUUAGCUAGUUGGUGGGGUAAUGGCCUACCAAGGCAACGAUCCGUAGCUGGUCUGAGAGGAUGAUCAGCCACACUGGGACUGAGACACGGCCCAGACUCCUACGGGAGGCAGCAGUGGGGAAUAUUGGACAAUGGGGGCAACCCUGAUCCAGCAAUGCCGCGUGAGUGAUGAAGGCCUUAGGGUUGUAAAGCUCUUUCGGCGGGGACGAUGAUGACGGUACCCGCAGAAGAAGCCCCGGCUAACUUCGUGCCAGCAGCCGCGGUAAUA
RNAcentral lists this ribosomal RNA (476 nucleotides) under uncultured bacterium. RNAcentral's name for it is "bacterial SSU rRNA". It matches the Rfam family "Bacterial small subunit ribosomal RNA", at positions 1 to 525 of the family's 1533-position model. The record is from RNAcentral.